GAGUUUGAUCGUGGCUCAGAUUGAACGCUGGCGGUAUGCUUAACGCAUGCAAGUCGAACGGUAACAGGAGAGAGCUUGCUCUUUUGCUGACGAGUGGCGGACGGGUGAGUAAUGCGUAGGAAUCUGCCUAGUAGUGGGGGACAACGUGUGGAAACGCACGCUAAUACCGCAUUACGCCCUACGGGGGAAAGCGGGGGAUCUUCGGACCUCGCGCUAUUAGAUGAGCCUACGUUAGAUUAGCUAGUUGGUGGGGUAAAGGCCUACCAAGGCGACGAUCUAUAGCUGGUCUGAGAGGAUGAUCAGCCACACUGGGACUGAGACACGGCCCAGACUCCUACGGGAGGCAGCAGUGGGGAAUAUUGGACAAUGGGCGAAAGCCUGAUCCAGCAAUACCGCGUGUGUGAAGAAGGCCUGAGGGUUGUAAAGCACUUUCAAUUGUGAAGAAUAUUAA
RNAcentral lists this ribosomal RNA (451 nucleotides) under uncultured microorganism. RNAcentral describes it as "bacterial SSU rRNA". It matches the Rfam family "Bacterial small subunit ribosomal RNA", at positions 9 to 455 of the family's 1533-position model. The record is from RNAcentral.